Molecule: ribosomal RNA, 277 nt
Filed under: uncultured bacterium
Lineage: Bacteria
Description: partial 16S ribosomal RNA
Rfam family: Bacterial small subunit ribosomal RNA
Source: RNAcentral
GAUAAACGCUGGCGGCGUGCCUAACACAUGCAAGUCGAACGUCCUACGCGCAAGCGUAGGGAGUGGCGGACGGGUGAGUAACACGUGGGCAAUCUACCUUUCGGUGAGGAAUACCGGCGAGAAAUCGCCGACAAGACCGCAUACGCUUCGCGAGAAGCAAAGUCGUAAGACGCCGGAGGAGGAGCCUGCGCCCGAUUAGCUGGUUGGUGGGGUAAAAGCCUACCAAGGCCUCGAUCGGUAGCUGGUCUGAGAGGAUGAUCAGCCACACUGGGAUUGA